GACGAACGCUGGCGGCGUGCUUAACACAUGCAAGUCGAACGGAAAGGCCCUGCUUUUGUGGGGUGCUCGAGUGGCGAACGGGUGAGUAACACGUGAGUAACCUGCCCUUGACUUUGGGAUAACUUCAGGAAACUGGGGCUAAUACCGGAUAGGAGCUCCUGCUGCAUGGUGGGGGUUGGAAAGUUUCGGCGGUUGGGGAUGGACUCGCGGCUCAUCAGCUUGUUGGUGGGGUAGUGGCUUACCAAGGCUUUGACGGGUAGCCGGCUGAGAGGGUGACCGGCCACAUUGGGACUGAGAUACGGCCCAGACUCCUACGGGAGGCAGCAGUGGGGAAUAUUGCACAAUGGGCGGAAGCCUGAUGCAGCAACGCCGCGUGCGGGAUGACGGCCUUCGGGUUGUAAACCGCUUUCGCCUGUGACGAAGCGUGAGUGACGGUAAUGGGUAAAGAAGCACCGGCUAACUACGUG
This 467-nucleotide ribosomal RNA is filed under the name uncultured bacterium. RNAcentral's name for it is "partial 16S ribosomal RNA". It matches the Rfam family "Bacterial small subunit ribosomal RNA", at positions 28 to 507 of the family's 1533-position model. The record is from RNAcentral.